This 253-nucleotide ribosomal RNA is filed under the name uncultured bacterium. RNAcentral describes it as "partial 16S ribosomal RNA". It matches the Rfam family "Bacterial small subunit ribosomal RNA", at positions 524 to 776 of the family's 1533-position model. The record is from RNAcentral.
UACAGAGGGUGCAAGCGUUAAUCGGAGUUACUGGGCGUAAAGGGCGCGUAGGCUGAUAUUUUAGUCGGGUGUGAAAUCCCUGGGCUUAACCUAGGAAUUGCAUUCGAUACUGAAUGUCUAGAGUAUGGUAGAGGAAAGUGGAAUUCUCGGUGUAGUGGUAGAAUACGUAGAUAUCGAGAAGAACACCGGUGGCGAAAGCGACUUUCUGGGCCAAUACUGACGCUGAGGCGCGAAAGCGUGGGGAGCAAACAGG